ACCCGGAGCUUGCUCUGGGGGAUUAGUGGCGAACGGGUGAGUAACACGUGAGUAACCUGCCCUGGACUCUGGGAUAACCCCGAGAAAUCGGAGCUAAUACCGGAUAGGACCCUGUGCCGCAUGGUGCGGGGUGGAAAGUUUUUCGGUCUGGGAUGGACUCGCGGCCUAUCAGCUUGUUGGUGAGGUAAUGGCUCACCAAGGCGUCGACGGGUAGCCGGCCUGAGAGGGUGACCGGCCACACUGGGACUGAGACACGGCCCAGACUCCUACGGGAGGCAGCAGUGGGGAAUAUUGCACAAUGGGCGAAAGCCUGAUGCAGCAACGCCGCGUGCGGGAUGACGGCCUUCGGGUUGUAAACCGCUUUUAGUAAGGAAGAAGCCGCAAGGUGACGGUACUUGCAGAAAAAGGACCGGCUAACUACGUGCCAGCAGCCGCGGUAAUACGUAGGGUCCGAGCGUUGUCCGGAAUUAUUGGGCGUAAAGAGCUCGUAGGCGGUUUGUCGCGUCUGCUGUGAAAACUAGAGGCUCAACCUCUAGCCUGCAGUGGGUACGGGCAGACUUGAGUGGUGUAGGGGAGACUGGAAUUCCUGGUGUAGCGGUGGAAUGCGCAGAUAUCAGGAGGAACACCGAUGGCGAAGGCAGGUCUCUGGGCACUUACUGACGCUGAGGAGCGAAAGCGUGGGGAGCGAACAGGAUUAGAUACCCUGGUAGUCCACGCCGUAAACGUUGGGCGCUAGAUGUGGGGACCUUUCCACGGUUUCCGUGUCGUAGCUAACGCAUUAAGCGCCCCGCCUGGGGAGUACGGCCGCAAGGCUAAAACUCAAAGGAAUUGACGGGGGCCCGCACAAGCGGCGGAGCAUGCGGAUUAAUUCGAUGCAACGCGAAGAACCUUACCAAGGCUUGACAUACACGAGAACGGGCCAGAAAUGGUCAACUCUUUGGACACUCGUGAACAGGUGGUGCAUGGUUGUCGUCAGCUCGUGUCGUGAGAUGUUGGGUUAAGUCCCGCAACGAGCGCAACCCUCGUCGCAUGUUGCCAGCACGUUAUGGUGGGGACUCAUGUGAGACUGCCGGGGUCAACUCGGAGGAAGGUGGGGAUGACGUCAAAUCAUCAUGCCCCUUAUGUCUUGGGCUUCACGCAUGCUACAAUGGCCGGUACAAAGGGCUGCGAUGUCGUAAGGCGGAGCGAAUCCCAAAAAGCCUGGUCUCAGUUCGGAUUGAGGUCUGCAACUCGACCUCAUGAAGUCG
This 1247-nucleotide ribosomal RNA is filed under the name Agromyces sp. 339. Its description in RNAcentral is "bacterial SSU rRNA". It matches the Rfam family "Bacterial small subunit ribosomal RNA", at positions 71 to 1328 of the family's 1533-position model. The record is from RNAcentral. Lineage: Bacteria; Bacillati; Actinomycetota; Actinomycetes; Micrococcales; Microbacteriaceae.